Molecule: ribosomal RNA, 519 nt
Filed under: uncultured eukaryote
Lineage: Eukaryota
Description: SSU rRNA
Rfam family: Eukaryotic small subunit ribosomal RNA
Source: RNAcentral
AGGGCACCACCAGGAGUGGAGCCUGCGGCUUAAUUUGACUCAACACGGGAAAUCUCACCAGGCCCGGACACCGGAAGGAUUGACAGAUUGAGAGCUCUUUCUUGAUUCGGUGGGUGGUGGUGCAUGGCCGUUCUUAGUUGGUGGAGCGAUUUGUCUGGUUAAUUCCGAUAACGAACGAGACUCUGGCCUACUAACUAGAUGGAGGAUCCCUUCGUGGGUUCUUCACUGCUCCUUAGAGGGACGGGCGGCGUUUAGCCGCACGAGAUUGAGCAAUAACAGGUCUGUGAUGCCCUUAGAUGUUCUGGGCUGCACGCGCGCUACACUGAAGGAAUCAGCGUGUCCUCCCCGCUCUGAAAAGAGUGGGUAACCCGUUGAAACUCCUUCGUGAUGGGGAUUGGAGAUUGUAAUUAUUCUCCAUGAACGAGGAAUUCCCAGUAGGCGCGAGUCAUCAGCUUGCGUCGAUUACGUCCCUGCCCUUUGUACACACCGCCCGUCGCUACUACCGAUCGAGUGAUUUAG